GCCUUUAAACCCAGCACUAGAGAAGAGUAUAAGGCGGGUGGGGACAGGAGUGCAGGGUAUUCAGUCUGCAGUCACUCUGAGGACAGGGUCGCCCCAGCCUUGGUAGAGGAAUGUCCUUAGGUACCUUAGACCACAGAUCUCUGCAAACACCCACAGAUCCCAUGGAAACAGCUCCAAGGAUGGGCAGCUCUGUAAGGAACACUACACACCCACCAGAUCCCAGAGGACUGCUGAGGGCAGUGUCUGCCUAGCGAGCAGUGCCUGAGCAAAUCAUCCUUUGGGAAGGCUCCGCCUCUCGGACCGCCUAGUAGCGCGUGCGCAGCGAGGUUGUCUCGGAGCCCCGCCCCUGCCCGAAGUCAGAACGCAGAGCCACGCCCCCACUGGUUUGUCAAGGACCAUUUUCAUGGCCACCUUAGCCACGUUUGAUAUUGAUAUAUCAUGAAAGGCUCAUUCCUGGCACAAAAGGUGGUGUCUGGCUUGUUUUCUGUUGCUGUGAUAAACACAUGACCAAAAGCAGCUAGGAUGGAAAGGGCUCACUUCACCUAGUCUGUUAUGCAGUGAAGUUGAGGCAGAUACUGAAGCAGAGCCCAAAGACAACCACUGCUUACUGGCUUGCAGAGUUUUCCAGAGUGGAGAUUUCCAGGGUGAGAAUUGAUGCGAUUUCAAGUCCUGAGCUUGGGGCGAGCCCGGGAAUUGGUGGAUUUUCAAGCUCAGGGGUUGGUGGGUUUUCAAAACCAGGAAGUGAACUUGGACCUUUUUACCCUGGGACUGCACAUGCUUUAACAGUUCAGAAGCAACCCUCAGGGGCCUGGGAAUUCUUAAGGAAUAUCUGUCUCUAUAGGAGGAUGUCCCUCUACUUUGGAAACUACCAAACAACAAACUCUGCUGGCUUGGACUGAGGCAAACUGAACCUGUAAAGUAAAAUGUUCAAGGGCACUUCCAGGUUUGAAAAGUUACCAGACCCCACCAAUCCCUGAGCAUGAAAUCCCACCAGUUCCUGACUUGGCUUGAAAUGUCACCAUCCCCACCCUGGGAAUCUCCAUCUUGGAAAACUUCUCUCCCAAGAAACCAUAUAUAGGCCUGUCUCCUCCUCAGUUCCUUGCUCACUCAAGGAGAGAAUUUCUUGUAUCUCUUCCAAUAAAUCUAUCGUGUGCGGUUAUUGUACAGUG
This is a long non-coding RNA of Mesocricetus auratus (golden hamster), 1169 nucleotides long. RefSeq lists it as uncharacterized. The record is from RefSeq and is a predicted model, not a curated record. The transcript is spliced from 3 exons. Lineage: Eukaryota; Metazoa; Chordata; Mammalia; Rodentia; Cricetidae.